AUACAUGCUUUAUUCAUCUAUGUGUUUGCAGAUUUUAAAUGGUUAGUGAUUUGUUUGAUCUCUCUGUUUCUCUUAUUUUGCUCAUCUUUUGAGUAAUCGUUAAUUCUUAUUUGAUUUUGGAUAUCAAAACUAUGUUUCUUGCAGCAAUUUUGUAUCACAGAUGGAUACUCAACAUUGUUGAAAGUUUUCAUCUCUUGUUCUUGAGGAGGAUGAAGAAGUAUGGAUUACAAAUUCUUUUGGUCAAGGCUAGUUUAAUUCCCAUGUGAGCAAUGAAACUGGUCAAUAAGGACAGGUUCGUUUUCUUUAUGAAUCUUAAUGCUUAUUUUAUUAAAUAUUUGCCUAGUAAAUGAGAUUGGAAUUCUUAUCCCUUGAUACUUCAAGAAAAUAGAGACAAUGAUAACAUGAUGGAACUAUCAUAUUCGGCUAUCGCAAAGCUUGAUCAAGCAAAACAGAAUGAGAUCCAACCUUCUUCAUAAAAAUUAGAAGGUUAUUUACUUUACUUCGUCUUUGUUACUCUUGAUGGUUUUGGUUUUGGCAAUUUCAGUUCCAAACUAAUUCAGGCUAUCCACAAGCUUUCCUUUCGGCAUCAAGACUUCAAGGUAAACUAAUACUCUUUGAUUUCUCGUGUUUUCAUAAGGUUAGCAGCUGAUCAGUUCAAAUUAUUUAGUAGAUAUACCCUGCAUUUUAAGGAAAUUUGAAGCUAAUAAGCUUGUCUAUUGUACUGCAUUUUUAGGACUAUUGUUGCUUUGGAGAAGGCAGUGAAGUGAGAAUUGCUUGGAAUGAGACAACCUAAGUUCUUUGAAGGAGAGAAAGAGCAAGCUAAUGGGAAGGCAACGCACAUAGAGGGGAUGAGAUUGAAGUUGUCUUUAGAAUGUUAGCUUUAUUUUGUUUAAAACUUGGUAUGAUGUUAUGUUAAAAUGGAUAAUGUAAUAAUAUUGUUAUGUAUGUUGAUGAUUUAUGAAAUAUAAACAUUAUAUUAUAA
RNAcentral lists this long non-coding RNA (982 nucleotides) under Arabidopsis lyrata. Its description in RNAcentral is "long non-coding RNA (ALYR_LNC001900)". The record is from RNAcentral. Lineage: Eukaryota; Viridiplantae; Streptophyta; Magnoliopsida; Brassicales; Brassicaceae.